Gasterosteus aculeatus aculeatus (three-spined stickleback) is the source of this 479-nucleotide long non-coding RNA. NCBI's taxonomy places the organism in Eukaryota, Metazoa, Chordata, Actinopteri, Perciformes, Gasterosteidae. The record is from Ensembl.
GUUAGCUAGCCGUUAUGUUAUUCUUUUACUAAAGCUCUUUUUGUGUUUGUUCCAGAUCAAUGAACAGCUUUGUCACCAACACAUUGACAGUGGCCGCUGCAAGUUUGCAUAGGAAUGGAUUGAUGAGGAGAGUUUUCUUCUUUUAGAUGAGGCUACCAUCAGCCAGUUGAUCCCAAGAGCUGGCCCAAGGCUUAAGUGCCUCAAAAAUUUUAAAGGACUUGUUGAACCUGCUGUUACACCUACAAGCUCUGAUGUCACACCAACUGCCACUCCUCCAACCCCCAUGGAGGAAGAAGCAGCAGUUGCGGUUGUUGAAAGCCUUGAUGAGGAUAAUGUCAUCACAACUUGCCAGAGACGUCUCCUCACCCGUAUCCUGGUGUCUCACCUCAUUGAGAAGUUUGGAUAGAAUCCUGCAAAAAGAGACCAAAAAGGCCAUGGCAUCCAGUUUGAUUCAGUCAUUUCCCAGUUUAAGAGACGGA